This 322-nucleotide ribosomal RNA is filed under the name uncultured Pseudomonadota bacterium. Its description in RNAcentral is "bacterial SSU rRNA". It matches the Rfam family "Bacterial small subunit ribosomal RNA", at positions 162 to 479 of the family's 1533-position model. The record is from RNAcentral. Lineage: Bacteria; Pseudomonadati; Pseudomonadota.
AUUAAUACCGCAUACGACCUUCGGGUGAAAGGGGGGGAUCUUCGGACCUCUCGCUAUUGGAGUGGCCGAUGCCUGAUUAGUUUGUUGGUGGGGUAACGGCCUACCAAGACUACGAUCAGUAGCUGGUCUGAGAGGACGAUCAGCCACACUGGGACUGAGACACGGCCCAGACUCCUACGGGAGGCAGCAGUGGGGAAUCUUGGACAAUGGGCGAAAGCCUGAUCCAGCAAUGCCGCGUGUGCGAUGAAGGCUUUCGGGUUGUAAAGCACUUUUAUCAGGGAAGAAAUGGUUCGGGCCAAUACCUCGGACUUCUGACGGUACC